Molecule: ribosomal RNA, 409 nt
Filed under: uncultured bacterium
Lineage: Bacteria
Description: bacterial SSU rRNA
Rfam family: Bacterial small subunit ribosomal RNA
Source: RNAcentral
UGGCCUUGACAUAAUAAGAAUCUUUUAGAGAUAGAGGAGUGCUAGUUUACUAGAGCUUAUAUACAGGUGCUGCACGGCUGUCGUCAGCUCGUGUCGUGAGAUGUUGGGUUAAGUCCCGCAACGAGCGCAACCCUCGUGUUUAGUUACUAACAGUUCGGCUGAGGACUCUAAACAGACUGCCUGGGUAACCAGGAGGAAGGUGAGGACGACGUCAAGUCAUCAUGGCCCUUACGGCCAGGGCUACACACGUGCUACAAUGGGGUAUACAAAGAGCCGCGAUACCGUGAGGUGGAGCAAAUCUCAUAAAAUACCUCCCAGUUCGGAUUGAAGUCUGCAACUCGACUUCAUGAAGUUGGAAUCGCUAGUAAUCGUGAAUCAGCAAUGUCACGGUGAAUACGUUCCCGGGUCU